UCGACCGGCAAAAUAAGCUCGGUUUUUAGAAAUUAAGCAUCCAUUAACGUGACGAAGGCAAAUGAUGAGAGCUCAUAAAUCCAAAUAAACCGUCAAUCGAGCUACCGUUCCCUGCUCAGUUAUUCGGUUCCAUGCGGUACUCAAGAGUUGGAGUACGGGUGCUGGGUGAGCGUCGGGUAAGGCCCGGUGCGACUCAGUCAUUUCAUAGAGCACCACAUCUGCGCGCAGAGUGGGACAGCAAGAUUCAGGAGGCGGACAGGGUGAAGUCGGCCAUGGAUCCAGAGUUCUGGAGCUGCCUUCUCCUUUUUCGGCCGUCUAUCGCCACCCACGUCCCCGACUACGCCGGGAUCCGCCGCCUCUUCCUUCAUCGCAAGGCCCAGUUCUUGCCGUUGAUCGAUCGCCGCAAGGUGCCUUUUUAUUUGAUCCAUUAGUUGUCGUUUGUAGCCUGAAUGGAUCUUUAGCGGAUUCUUGCCAAGGAUGUGGUGAAAAUUGUGAAAUCUUUGCAUCAAAUUGAGUUGAACGAAUGAAGAUGCAAUUGCAGAGGGUAUGUGCCGUUUAGGAGACUAGGAGAGCCGGUUGGAUGUAGGGUUUCCAAAUGAAUUCCGAUCUUAUUUGGUCGUGUUAAGUUAUGAGGUCAUUUGGGCUCGUGAGCUACUCGGACUUGAGCUCGGGCUCGGACUUGAAUUCAAACGGGC
This 695-nucleotide long non-coding RNA is filed under the name Phoenix dactylifera (date palm). Its description in RNAcentral is "long non-coding RNA (PDAC_LNC001324)". Lineage: Eukaryota; Viridiplantae; Streptophyta; Magnoliopsida; Arecales; Arecaceae. The record is from RNAcentral.